ACUUGGGCCAAGGGAAUGCAAACU
RNAcentral lists this microRNA (24 nucleotides) under Drosophila melanogaster (fruit fly). RNAcentral's name for it is "dme-miR-375-5p". Its record names the gene dme-miR-375-5p. RNAcentral also lists the same sequence under 4 other names. The record is from miRBase by way of RNAcentral. Lineage: Eukaryota; Metazoa; Arthropoda; Insecta; Diptera; Drosophilidae.